Sorex fumeus (smoky shrew) is the source of this 186-nucleotide small nuclear RNA. RefSeq annotates it as U2 spliceosomal RNA. The record is from RefSeq and is a predicted model, not a curated record. NCBI's taxonomy places the organism in Eukaryota, Metazoa, Chordata, Mammalia, Eulipotyphla, Soricidae. The transcript has a single exon.
AUCUCUUCUUGGCUUUUGGUUAAGAUCAAGUGUAUCUGUUCUAACCAGUUUAAUAGCUGAUAUAUCCUCUAUUCUAGGAUAAUAUAUUAAUGAAUUUUUGGAGCAGGUGUUUGGAAUAGAAACUUGCUCCAUCUAUUCCACAUAUCCACCUGAUAUUGCAGGAUCUCCAGAAAUUGUGCACCUUCC